Oncorhynchus gorbuscha (pink salmon) is the source of this 1420-nucleotide long non-coding RNA. RefSeq lists it as uncharacterized. NCBI's taxonomy places the organism in Eukaryota, Metazoa, Chordata, Actinopteri, Salmoniformes, Salmonidae. The record is from RefSeq and is a predicted model, not a curated record. The transcript is spliced from 3 exons.
GAAACCGUGCAUACUUACAACAUACACCCCAAAAUGUGUGUGCGCCAAAAGUUGGCGUUUAUUUAAAAAAAAGAUGUACUCAGCUCCCCGCAAACUUUAGACCAUGCGUACACACAUCUCUGAUUCGAACCAUUCUGAUCUAGCGAGCUAACAAUGUUUCGUUGCACGGAUACAGUCUGGCUGAUGCGCCAACCAUGGAUAUACACGGCGACCUGUGACCAAUGAUUUAUAUAUACAGUGACUCACUGUUCUGAGGUGCGCUCAGUUCGCUUGAACAUUUGCUACAUUGUGGAACGAUUUGUACUGAACUAAACACUUCCCAAAAACGUUCAUGUACGUUAUUGAACAGACUUUGAGGCACAUGCUUCCUCGUAAAUUUGAGAUGACCCCACUAGAGAAGUAAACAAGCCAAGCUAAAGUUAGGCUAGGUAGCCUAGCUAACUAAAACUUGGGAGAAAAACUCAGCGAUGGACCUUUCUGAAAAGAAGACCGAACACUGCCACAUAGUAAUAACCAACCUGAAGCAUUUUUUUGUGCGAGUCGAGGCCAGCCAGAAAAGAUACCAACUGACUCUCUCAACCACCGUUGAAAAGUCAGGCUCAAGCUGCAAGGCAGGCGGCUCGAGUAGCAGAGGCCACCGCUGCUGGAUCAUCUGUUUGUGGUUCCUUUAGAGAAUGUUAGCUCCCUCAUUGAUGAUGGCAAUUGACAAUACAUGUAUGCUGCCAUUUGCUAUGAAUCACAGAUUUGUAAAAGAGAAUAUAUAUGAGCCUAUUGUUGACUUGGUGAUGUGAGGUCUGAAUCUUGUCUAUAUUCAGGUUCAUCAAAGAUUUGGCAUGCAACCUUGGGUUAUGACAAAGAAACACUAUGGCAAAAUUACACAGUUGGUGAUAUAACUAAUCUGGUUAAGAUGUGGUUUUAUUUUCUUGUGUCUUCUCAGAAUGGACAGGCAGCCCAUAGCCACUGUCAAAAGUUUCAUGCAGCGAAAUGUUCGAUGUAUCACAAAUAUGAGGUGUGCAAAAAUAAGUGACAUUAAGCAGAUGCUUUCAUCCAAAACACUGUGCAUGCAUUCAUUUUCUGUUCGUGGCUCUGGGAAUCGAACCCAUUGACUGUCAUGGUCGUUAUUUAUUUAGCUAUUUUAAAUUCGCUAUAGACUUCAUUUAACAGUUUAAUAGGCUAUUGCAAUAACUCAACAUGCAUGGUUGUAGGCUGCAUCACUUCAGUCUAUGUAGCAGAUUAUCCGGUGGAAGAUAUAGGCCUUCAUUUCUUUUUUUUAAUAAAGGUAUUCUAUGUCCUAGGCUACAACACAGUGCAAUAACGAAUGUAUUAUUGUUAGUACACAAUGAUUGUCUAGGCAGUGAUGUGGGCUAAUCAAACAUCCUUUUGCGUUUCAUGCCAAAAUAAAGCCCUGCUUAUACAACCA